GACGUAGGGCGCGUGCGUUGUCCGGAUUUAUUGGGCGUAAAGAGCGUGUAGGCGGCCAGGUAGGUCUGGUGUGAAAACUCGAGGCUUAACCUCGAGAUGUCAUCGGAAACCAUCUGGCUAGAGUCCGGAAGAGGAGAGUGGAAUUCCUGGUGUAGCGGUGAAAUGCGCAGAUAUCAGGAAGAACACCAAUGGCGAAAGCAGCUCUCUGGGACGGUACUGACGCUGAGACGCGAAAGCGUGGGGAGCGAACAGG
RNAcentral lists this ribosomal RNA (253 nucleotides) under uncultured bacterium. Its description in RNAcentral is "partial 16S ribosomal RNA". It matches the Rfam family "Bacterial small subunit ribosomal RNA", at positions 524 to 776 of the family's 1533-position model. The record is from RNAcentral.